GAUGAACGCUGGCGGCGUGCCUAAUACAUGCAAGUCGAGCGAACAGAUGAGGAGCUUGCUCCUCUGACGUUAGCGGCGGACGGGUGAGGAACACGGGGAUAACCUACCUAUAAGACUGGGAUAAUAUCGGGAAACCGGAGCUAAUACCGGAUAAUAUAUUGAACCGCAAGGGUCAAUAGUUAAAGACGGUUUUGCUGUCACUUAUAGAUGGAUCCGCGCCGGAUUAGCUUGUUGGUGAGGUAACGGCUUAGCAAGGCAACGAUGCGUAGCCGCCCUGAGAGGGUCGUCGGCCACCCUGUAACUGAGACACGGUCCAGACUCCUACGGGAGGCCGCAGUAGGGACUCUUCCGCAAUGGGCCAAUGCCUGACGGAGCACCGCCGCGUGAGUGCUGAAGGUCUUCGGAUCCUAGAACUCUGUUAUUAGGGAAGAACAAAUGUGUAAGUAACUAUGCUCGUCUUGACGGUACCUAAUCAGAAAGCCACGGCUAACUCCGUG
Molecule: ribosomal RNA, 497 nt
Filed under: uncultured bacterium
Lineage: Bacteria
Description: partial 16S ribosomal RNA
Rfam family: Bacterial small subunit ribosomal RNA
Source: RNAcentral